RNAcentral lists this unclassified non-coding RNA (228 nucleotides) under plant metagenome. RNAcentral describes it as "partial contains small subunit ribosomal RNA, internal transcribed spacer 1, and 5.8S ribosomal RNA". The record is from RNAcentral.
UCUCCGUUGGUGAACCAGCGGAGGGAUCAUUACAGAGUUCCACACCUCCAAACCCCUGCGAACCGUACCCUAGUUUGUUCGCGUUGCCUCCUGGCGGCAGGCCCCCGGCGCCACCGCCGGGGCCCCCGCCAGCGGCGCCGAGCCCCCUGAACCAUUUUUUCCCAACCAGUCCGUCUGAGCAAACAAACAAACGAAUCAAAACUUUCAACAACGGAUCUCUUGGUUCUG